CCUACGGGUGGCAGCAGUGAGGAAUAUUGGUCAAUGGGCGCGAGCCUGAACCAGCCAAGUCGCGUGAGGGAAGACGGUCCUAUGGAUUGUAAACCUCUUUUGUCGGGGAGCAAAAGACGCCACGCGUGGCGUUCCGAGAGUACCCGAAGAAAAAGCAUCGGCUAACUCCGUGCCAGCAGCCGCGGAAAUACGGGGGAUGCGAGCGUUAUCCGGGUUUAUUUGGGUAAAAGGGUGCGUAGGCGGAAUGCCAAGUCAGCGGUAAAAUUGCGGGGAUGAACCUCUGUCCGCAGUUGAAACUGGCGUUGUUGAGGGGGCGAGAAGUAUGCGGAAUGCGUGGUGUAGCGGUGAAAUGCAUAGAUAUCACGCAGAACUCCGAGUGCGAAGGCAGCAUACCGGCGCCCAACUGACGCUGAAGCACGAAAGCGUGGGUAUCGAACAGGAUUAGAUACCCGGGUAGUC
This 459-nucleotide ribosomal RNA is filed under the name uncultured bacterium. RNAcentral's name for it is "partial 16S ribosomal RNA". It matches the Rfam family "Bacterial small subunit ribosomal RNA", at positions 338 to 795 of the family's 1533-position model. The record is from RNAcentral.